CAGCAGCCGCGGUAAUACGAAGGGUGCAAGCGUUAAUCGGAAUUACUGGGCGUAAAGCGUGCGUAGGCGGUUUGUUAAGUCUGUUGUGAAAUCCCCGGGCUCAACCUGGGAAUGGCAAUGGAUACUGGCAAGCUAGAGUGUGUCAGAGGAUGGUGGAAUUCCCGGUGUAGCGGUGAAAUGCGUAGAGAUCGGGAGGAACAUCAGUGGCGAAGGCGGCCAUCUGGGGCAACACUGACGCUGAGGCACGAAAGCGCGGGGAGCAAACAGGAUUAGAUACCCCCGUAGUCCCUGUCUCUUAUAC
RNAcentral lists this ribosomal RNA (301 nucleotides) under uncultured bacterium. RNAcentral's name for it is "partial 16S ribosomal RNA". It matches the Rfam family "Bacterial small subunit ribosomal RNA", at positions 509 to 807 of the family's 1533-position model. The record is from RNAcentral.